AGAGUUUGAUCCUGGCUCAGGGCGAACGCUGGCGGCAGGCCUAACACAUGCAAGUCGAACGGAUCCUUCGGGAUUAGUGGCGGACGGGUGAGUAACACGUGGGAACGUGCCCUUUGGUUCGGAACAACUCAGGGAAACUUGAGCUAAUACCGGAUGUGCCCUUCGGGGGAAAGAUUUAUCGCCAUUGGAGCGGCCCGCGUCUGAUUAGCUAGUUGGUGGGGUAAAGGCCCACCAAGGCGACGAUCAGUAGCUGGUCUGAGAGGAUGAUCAGCCACAUUGGGACUGAGACACGGCCCAAACUCCUACGGGAGGCAGCAGUGGGGAAUCUUGCGCAAUGGGCGAAAGCCUGACGCAGCCAUGCCGCGUGAAUGAUGAAGGUCUUAGGAUUGUAAAAUUCAUUCACCGGGGACGAUAAUGACGGUACCCGGAGAAGAAGCCCCGGCUAACUUCGUGCCAGCAGCCGCGGUAAUACGAAGGGGGCUAGCGUUGCUCGGAAUUACUGGGCGUAAAGGGAGCGUAGGCGGACUGUUAAGUUAGAGGUGAAAGCCCAGGGCUCAACCUUGGAAUUGCCUUUGAUACUGGCAGUCUUGAGUACGGAAGAGGUAUGUGGAACUCCGAGUGUAGAGGUGAAAUUCGUAGAUAUUCGGAAGGACACCAGUGGCGAAGGCGACAUACUGGUCCGUUACUGACGCUGAGGCUCGAAAGCGUGGGGAGCAAACAGGAUUAGAUACCCUGGUAGUCCACGCCGUAAACGAUGAGUGCUAGUUGUCGGCAUGCAUGCAUGUCGGUGACGCAGCUAGCGCAUUAAG
RNAcentral lists this ribosomal RNA (809 nucleotides) under uncultured bacterium. RNAcentral's name for it is "bacterial SSU rRNA". It matches the Rfam family "Bacterial small subunit ribosomal RNA", at positions 8 to 864 of the family's 1533-position model. The record is from RNAcentral.